AACCAAAUGAUGUGGGCAUUUAUAGAGCAAGACCUUGAAAUGCUCCCAGGUUUCAAAGAAAAGUUCCCCAUCCAUUUGUGUGAAACUUGUGAUUGCCCUUCGAAUAUGGUU
Small nucleolar RNA from Malania oleifera, 111 nucleotides. NCBI's taxonomy places the organism in Eukaryota, Viridiplantae, Streptophyta, Magnoliopsida, Santalales, Ximeniaceae. The record is from RefSeq and is a predicted model, not a curated record.